UACGUAGGUGGCAAGCGUUAUCCGGAUUUACUGGGUGUAAAGGGCGUGUAGGCGGGACUGCAAGUCAGAUGUGAAAAUUAUGGGCUCAACCCAUAACCUGCAUUUGAAACUGUAGUUCUUGAGUGAUGGAGAGGCAGGCGGAAUUCCGUGUGUAGCGGUGAAAUGCGUAGAUAUACGGAGGAACACCAGUGGCGAAGGCGGCCUGCUGGACAUUAACUGACGCUGAGGCGCGAAAGCGUGGGGAGCAAACA
Molecule: ribosomal RNA, 251 nt
Filed under: uncultured bacterium
Lineage: Bacteria
Description: partial 16S ribosomal RNA
Rfam family: Bacterial small subunit ribosomal RNA
Source: RNAcentral